RNAcentral lists this ribosomal RNA (253 nucleotides) under uncultured bacterium. RNAcentral's name for it is "partial 16S ribosomal RNA". It matches the Rfam family "Bacterial small subunit ribosomal RNA", at positions 526 to 779 of the family's 1533-position model. The record is from RNAcentral.
CGUAGGGCGCAAGCGUUAUCCGGAAUUAUUGGGCGUAAAGAGCUCGUAGGCGGUUUGUCGCGUCUGCUGUGAAAACUGGGGGCUCAACCCCCAGCCUGCAGUGGGUACGGGCAGACUAGAGUGCGGUAGGGGAGAUUGGAAUUCCUGGUGUAGCGGUGGAAUGCGCAGAUAUCAGGAGGAACACCGAUGGCGAAGGCAGAUCUCUGGGCCGUAACUGACGCUGAGGAGCGAAAGGGUGGGAGCAAACAGGCUU